AAAACUCGAAGACUAAAAAUAGAAUAACCUCAAAAUACAAAACGAGUCUAUUUUUUCUUUCAUUUUAAAAACACAGAAGUAGUUCUAAUGGAUUAUAGACUAAGAAAUAAAAGGAUAUUGUGAUUGGACCUAACAAUAUUUUCACAUUUUGUCCUUCAAAGAUUCAACUUCAUUUCUUUUUUACAAGACAGAGUAGAGUCUGGCAGUGUAAUAAGAGGCUGCUUUAAGAAAAGAGAGAAAGAAGAAAGAAAUAAAAAAGGAUGAAGGAAAGAAAGAUCAUCAGGAUUAAACAAUGUUGACUGACUUUCUGUCAUUCUCACUACUCCAGUUGCUGAGCAUUCAAAUACUAAAAGAAAACAUACCACUGUCUCUAGAGAUGCUGUGUCAACAAGAACUCCUUCCGCUGGCAUGAUACAAUAUCUGUUUAACUAAUCAGAGGGAAAUUUAUCACAGAGGAUUUGGUGGGGUUGUUUAUGGAGUCGUUAGCACAAUGGCACUCAACUCUCAGAUGUCAGUUGUGCUCCUCAGAAGAUGAAAUGCUGCAGCUGGUUGGGAAAUGAAUAAAUGCCAAAAUCUGAGUUACAAAAUAGAGGACUUAAUUUGAAAAAAAUUCUAUUGCUAGAAUUUUGAGGAUGUGUUGGUGGAUUUAUUUAAUUCAUUUAUUUGCUUAUUUUUUUUCAAAGUAAUGAGCAUGUGCUGAAGAUUUUAAAGAGGUGGUAUGCUGAAGUGUUCACUAAUCUUGAAAAGUUUGAUAGGAAUUUUGUCUACACCUUGCUGUAAGAGUAUCACACUUUGCUCUUGUUUCCAGCUAAUGAGCUCAUAAAGGAGCUUUUCAAACAUCAAAGGAAUGAAAUGAAUUCCUAGGAUAAUAUUCAGAUUGCCUAAAUUCUGCUUGAUGCUUUGUGCUUGUGGUCUAAUUGACUUUGGAAAGAAAGGAGUACAGUUCAUUGGCAAUGCAACUCUGUCAAGGAUAACACUUCUGCUUCUGUCCUGGCAUCCAAACUGUAUAUCCUUGACUACUGGCUCCUGAAAGAAAGAUUGGUCACCAAUACUGGGCAAAGUUGGCCUGUUCUAAAUCCUAGUUUGGCCCAGACGGACAAAUGGGAAGGAGAAAAUUACUCCUCUUGUAGAAAUCUCACUUCAAGAAAUGGCUCAUUGACUUCGGUCAAAAGCAUAUCAGGA
RNAcentral lists this long non-coding RNA (1182 nucleotides) under Anas platyrhynchos platyrhynchos (common mallard). RNAcentral describes it as "lncRNA (ENSAPLG00000016918.1)". The record is from RNAcentral. Lineage: Eukaryota; Metazoa; Chordata; Aves; Anseriformes; Anatidae.